This is a long non-coding RNA of Gallus gallus (chicken), 4121 nucleotides long. RefSeq lists it as uncharacterized. The record is from RefSeq and is a predicted model, not a curated record. The transcript is spliced from 2 exons. NCBI's taxonomy places the organism in Eukaryota, Metazoa, Chordata, Aves, Galliformes, Phasianidae.
AGGGUUGAAGUCCUGGUUAAAAGGGAAAUGGAGGUUUCCCAUUACAGCGCAGUCCCCAGACCUGCUGUUUGCCUGCAAACUGCUGCGGGGAGUUCAAGGCUGCAGGGGAAGGUAGGUGAGCAAACUGCCACGUCUCAGCUCCCAGUGAAGGAAUGACUUGUGCUUGCAGCAACGCAGAACACAGCAGACACGGCUUGUCGGGAACUCCAGAGGAUCUGCUUUCUCCCCAUUUUUACAGAUGGGCAGAUUUAUGGUAUAAAGAGGUCUAGUAACAAGUCUGCAGCCACACGUCGCCUCAGUAGCUCUCCUGGAAGCUGCCUAAUGGCUCACUGAGUCUGUUCCUGAAGCGUCCUCUAGGAACAGAGAGCUCCUGCCCUGCUAGCAAGGCUGCCAAAAUGUCUUACGUAUCUGAAAUAAGGACUGGAGGAUAUUUCAACCACAACCAACCAGGCUGAAAGAAACGCAGACUGUUCUGUUCUUCUGCGGAAACUCGCUAGCGGGGGAAAAGCUGAAACUGGGGGAUUCCAAACCACGUGAAGAACAACUUCUUAAAAAAAAGCUUUGAAAUAUGAAUGAUACAGAAAAUAAAACAGCAUCGAGAGAAGAGUUGGGCACACACUUUCAGACUGUGUGCUCCAAACGUGAUGAAGAGGGGCUCAAAGCACAACAGGAGGAAACCAGAGGAAAAGAGAAAAACUCUUUGGAAACCAGCUGGGAAUGGUCUGUUCUUAUCAAAACACAUUGCUGACACAGAGCUGUCAUGGAGCCAACAUCUGCUCCCAACUCACGAGGCAGCGCGAGGCGUGCUGAGCAGCUCCGCACACUCAGACACAGGAGCCCAUUGCUGGCUUGGCAUGUUGGACGUCGAUGAGGAGAGCUUCUGAAAGCACCAGUGAGCUCAAAGGGAAGGAAACUUGCUCCUUUGAUGGAGAAUGUUAUUUUGACCUACUCACAGAUUUUCUCCACACAGAGGAGUAUCUUCCAUUGGGAGGCAAUUGAAAAAAUGCCUGAUCCUGGCCCCGUAACACAUAUGGUAGUGUCUACUAAAGCCAACAGGGGGGUUGCAUAUGGCAAGCCUGAAAAACUCAAGCUCGUUAACAUUACAGCAUAGUAUUAUCACUAUUUUGUGAUCAUAAGGAUCUGUCUCUUUCAUCCUGAUGAUUUAUUCAGUUGUCCCAUCUCAACUCCUAGGAGUAAAUUUAAUGUUAGUGGGAAGUACCAACCUCAGGAAAACCUUUGUCUCCCUCACUGUGCAAUAGGAGGGAUGCACUCCUGCUCACCCGCUCCUCCUGAAAACCUGAAAUCUGCCCAAGACCUUUAAUUCUAAAGGCUUUCACUGCCUUUUCCUGCUUCAAUCUCCAGCAUUUUCAGGGUACCAGAAAACAGUGAACAGGCUGAGACACAACCGCUAUGGAACAGAUUUGCUAUCUGCAACUCUCCCACCUAGGGCAAGACAUCAAACAGCUGUUUAAAUUGCUCUAAUCCAGACUCAAACAAAUGGAAAAGCCUGGUGUCAGUUUAGUAACGGUGCCACGCAAACAGGAGGAUGGAUUUCUCCCUAAAUAAGCUGAUGGGUGUCUCCCCAUCACUGCAACGUGCCCCAUUGUGCCGCAGUCCCUGACCCCACAGCAAGCAGAGAGCAACCAGAGCAAUCCUCCCAGUUCUGGAAGUGCCCGUGCCCCUGCAGCACUGCUCCUGCACAGGAGGAGCCCAGCGCUCACCAGGAAGAAAGGCCCACUACUGUGGCUUCUCAUCAGUCAGUGCAAAGUGAACUGUAACUCCGCACUGGGUUCUCCGCUCUCCACUCAGACGUGGCAGAUUUUGAGCUUGCCGCUCUAUUUCCGAAAUGGGAAGUGGGAAGGAAGCUGCUGAGUCAGGGGCCAAGAUGGCCAGCGCUCCUCCCAGGGGAACGCCACUCAUCCCCUGCGCUGCACCUGCGUGCCAUUGAUUCCUCGGGAUUCCCGUGCUUGUACAGUCUCAGGCUGUCAGGGCCACAUCGAUCUGUUUGGCAGCGGAGAACAGAAUGGAUAUAAUGGAGGCGAUCUGUAAGGUGCUGGUUGCUAUGGGUGGGUGAAGAUAAUAGUGCGUGAAAUAAGCAGCCCUCGGAACUUGAACUGGAGAGCUCAGCCCCCCACCCCUGCCCUCGGAAGAGAGGACGGUAAAGCUGCCGUGUGCAGCUAACGCAGGUGAGCAGAAAGAUAAUGAAUUCACAGGGUGUAAUAAACCUGAUGGAAACUGCCUUAAAAUAGACGUGUGGUAAUAACGAGUCCUCUUGCAACAUGGCGUGCUGAAGGAUGCUGUCCUCAUCAAACUGACAUUAUGUACGGCGGAGGAAAACAGAAGGAGAACAUAAAUGUAGAUACCUCGUAAACACCCACAACUAAGUCCCAAACAAGAGCAUCCUAUUAAAGACAAUGAUGCCGAACCCUUGAAAACAAAUGUAAAUUAGCACAACUGCCGGUCACGGUUUGCCAGGCAAGCUUCUGGUCAUUGUUAAGCUCUCCACGCAGCUGGAUAGCAGAGGGAAAGGGUCAGGAUAGAGACCGAUUUCCCUAUCAUUUCAGCACAUCACUCUCCAUGGAAGCACCCUGCUGACCGGCCUUCUCCCAGAACCUCGCAGCGAUUAGCACCAUGCUGUUUCUUACUGUGAAUUUGAACAAGAGUAGCACAAAGCUAUCAGCAGGGACUUCAGUGAUCAGAAACUGCUCAGCCAAUUUCCCCUAUCAUUUUUCUCUUGUCAAACAAAUGCCUAUUGUCACAGGGCCUGCUCUUGUGGCAUGGGGAGAGCUUCUGCAAAUUGCCGAGACCCCUGCCUCGCGAUUUUAAAUCCCUAAAAUGUUAGUUCUCACCUAAAGACUAGCAGAUGAGCAAAGGACCGGGAGCCAGGAUCCGUCGGCAGUAAUCCUGGCUAUUGAUGUGCAGCACCAGUGCCCUGCGCUCCCUGCUCCCACCCCGCUCCUCCCUGCUUGCCACAUAAGGAUGGAAAAUAGCAGCAUCUCUCCUCCCACAGGGUGAAGGGAAGCUCAGAUUUUUCAGGAUGCAAAGUGCUAACUUGUUAUUCAAGCUGCAGGUCUCAGUAUUGAAAUUAGAGGUAACAAAAGUAGGAAAACUGCUACUGCAGCCACCAAGAACAAGAGGCCGGCAAUGGAGACUUCCCAGGUAAAACAAGGAGGGCCUCCAUCUAGGUGCUUCAUAGGAAGAUUCCCCUUCACCUCUACAACACAUACUGCACCACUGCUGGUGGGUUUUUUCUUUGAGCAGAAACCUGUUCUGCCUGCAGCCCGCUCUGCCCCACAACGGUAAUGCCAUGCAUUGGUGUGAUGCCAUGGCUCAGCCACAGGGCUCUGCUGGAAGAGGAGAGAGGAGCAGCAGAUGGGCCAGGAAGUGUAUAGCCCUGAUUUAAUAACAAGUAUAUUUGAUAAUUAGCAGCAAUAAUAUAGGUUCUACGUGAAAACGUGGAAAGAUGAGUGUAUUUGGGCAAAGAUAUAUAUAUAUAUAUAUACAUUCAUAUUUGAGCUUCUUCCAGCCUACAAAUUUCUUUUCACCACCACACAUAUUGUGUGCAGCAGCCCCUGUAGGGGCCAGGGUAUUGUGUAACAAGAAUGGUCAAACACAAUUUUACCGUGUCUAGCAAGGCAGAGUGCAAUACUUAUAUAUAUCAGAACAAGCAAUGUGCCCAAGUGCCUGAUGAUAAGGAAGAAAUGUGUCCUCGAUCAAGAAAAACCAGUUUAAUGCGCACACUGGGAGCAGAGCAUUACACAGAUAGCGCUUUCUCCCGGCCAUGUGAAUUUAAGGAACCCCUGCUGGUAACUGAGAUUCUUCGCAGACAAUCAGACCAGAAACGAAACGUUGUAAAUUCCUGAGGUACCGUCUGACGUGAGAUACAUCCUCACAUUCUGCACAAAACCAAGAAGGGAAAGAUACCAUGUAAGCAUCUCAGCUCCCGUACAACAAAUGCCAUUUCAAGCAUCAUUUAUUAUGCUGCCUUUCACAGACUUUUACAGUCCUCAAUAUGGUUAGCAAUUCCAGCUGACUCGUAAAGCGGUUUUAAAAUUCAUCACUGAAAAGAAUGUUUAUCUCCGUGUUUUCUCCAGUUUGGGAGUAAAAUUAGAGUCUUAAAA